CACCAAUAGGGAACGUGAGCU
Molecule: non-coding RNA, 21 nt
Filed under: Arabidopsis thaliana (thale cress)
Lineage: Eukaryota; Viridiplantae; Streptophyta; Magnoliopsida; Brassicales; Brassicaceae
Source: RNAcentral